UAUUGCUACAAAUAUACCUGUGCUACUGAUGACUGCUUCUGUGCUGCAGGGACACAUGUGUAUAUAUGUUUAUAUAAUGCUCAGCAUUUGAUUUCAGUGAAAGUCUCACCUCAUUGACAUAAAGGUCAGAGGUCAGACGCUCAUUCAUGACACUGAGGAUCCCUGGAGAGGUCAGUGGGAGGAAGUGAUGUCACAGCUGAUGUGUGUGUGUGUGUGUGUGUGUGUGUGUGUGUGUGUGUGUGUGUGUGUGUGUGUGUGUGUGUGUGUGUGUGUGUGUGAGUGUGUGUGUUUGAGCGGCUGAAGGGUCAUUGUGAAGCUCCUCAGUGAUCUCAGUGUUCAGAUGAAGACGUCUCCAGUGUCUUGGAGCGAACGGCUCGUCCUCCAUUCUUCACAAACACUGGCUCUUUCUGUUUGGCUCUCCACUCAGUUCUUUCUCUUUUCUCGUUUGGUUUACGCUGCUCUUGCCCUCGAGUCGCAUCUGCAGAGAGCAUCAAGAGGCGCAUUCACAUGAACCCGGCGUGUGCGCGCCUGCUAUUGUUUUAGCAAGUUCAUGACCUCAAAGUGCUUGCAGACGAGAUUGUAGCAUCGGAUAACAGACUGACAUGAAGAUUUCCACAGACCUGAUCCGUCAGCACUGAGCGUGCAUCAGCAAGGCAUUAGAGGGGUCAUGACAUGAGAAAUCACAUUUGCAUUGAUCUUUUGGCAUCUAAGAGGUCUUUGCACCAUUAAAACAUCCUGCAGGUUUAAUAAGUCCACGCUGGAGUCUGUCUCAGGACAAACGCAGUGAAUACUGUACGAAUAAAAACACUAAAAAAAUUACACAAACAGUGAAUAACUGUACAAGGCAAAUUACGGUAGGCCUAUAUGUGUAUACAAAGCAUAAAUGUUAAUUUAGCUUUCAAAAUGAGCACUUUGUCCUUUGUAAUACAUAUGUUGAGGAUUUUGUGCUUUCAAUGUUUUUUCAAGUUCAUCUGAUGUUCGCUACUGUAAUGUAUAUAUGAACCUAACAUUUUAAUAAGCAGGUUUGCACGCUUAAGACUUGCAUUGUACAAAUGUACUUCAGAUAUAAAAUCACUGAUUUGUUAGGUGAUGUUUUCUCAUUAAAAGCGUAUUUCUCAGGCUGGACCAGCCAAUUACAAUUAUGACCGCGCAUGCGCAUCGCUGCUCUAGCCUCAGGUUUCUAUGGGAAUCGGAGCUCCUAACGGCUGCUGCAGUGAUGCAAUGACUUUCCUGAUCAGUGAUUGGCUCUUUCAUUUAGAAGGAGGGGCUAUUCCACCAGACUGGGCAUUGCAGUUUCUCCCCUUUAUAAGUAUAGAAUUGAACCAAAUCUGUAUUUCUAUAGUCUUUGCUGCUACUCUGUCAGAUUUUGCAAGCUCCCAUUAAAACAGUUGGUGGCAUAAUUCGACAGUGAAAAAUGCUACCUAUCAGAUUUUGCUUCCAGCAUGAUAUUAAUGUGGUGUGAGGCUUUAUUAACAUGUACAUCUACCCCAACCCUAAACCUACCCGUACAGUAUUAUAAACACAGUGUUGGUAGCAGCAUUUUUGUUAGAACACCUGGCUGCGAUGAAAGCAUCGCGAGUUCUCCAGCAGAGGAUCCUCCCUCAUAUCUCAGCACAGCCAAGAACUCUAAAAUUAGGGCAGAAUUCAUGAAUUCUUUGAAGCUGAGUGAAGCGUUUCACACACACACACACACACACACACACACACACACACACACACACACACACACCCUACAGCAGCCAUAAUUACACACCCGCUAAUCCUGUUUCCCAAAUCCAGGUGCCAAUGGAUCCAUGCGGAAAAUCCCACGGCCGCACAUUUUCUCCAUCUGUCUCUCGGAUCCGGUUUCACACAAAGAUCUGUGUUUGUCUUCAUCUCCAUUCUGUCUUCAUUUGCUAAAAAUCUCUCUCACAGUGACCUCAAGCUCCAGGACCAGCCUAAAACCCUUGAGUUCCCCACAGAAACUAACAGCAUGGUCUGGAUCAACAUGAGGGGGAAUAAAUAAUGACUCAGUGCUGAUUUUUGGGUGAUUUAUUGCUUUAAUCCGUUUAGUGCUCGUCUGUUCAUGUGUUCAUGUAUUUGAGGAACCGUGUUUCCUCCGGAGGUUCAUUGCGAUUCAUCCAAACAUGAUGAGACACUCCACUGAUAUAAUGACACAGAUCGGUUAUUAAUUAGUCUUUUUUUGUCUUGUUUUCAAAUCAAAGAUAUCAAAAAAAGCUGAGAUAAAUGCUCCAUGAGAUAUCAAGGCUUGUUUUCAAAGAACCUGCUAUUACAUUCACUGGAAAGAGCGAUUAUUGAGAAAAGUAAAAAAAAACGUAUUUAUUUAUGAGUUUUCUCAACUAUUGAUUCUAAAUAAUCAUCUUUAGUAAUUCCACUUUGUGUUCAGUCACUAAAUGCCUCGUUCAACCGAUAUUUAUCAAGGACCCUGCAGAUUUCUUGUUCAUUAAGUCACACAAUAGAUUUAGUUUAUCAAACACUUCACGCGUGAACCAUGUGAUCUUUGUUUCUUCGUUCGUACACAGAUCUCAAAACUAAACACACAAAUGUCAAGAACUGACACAAUCCAUUAACACGUUGAGGUGUUUAUUUUUAUUUUGGUUCCAGAAAAUAAACUCUUCAACUCUUUCUUGUUUUUGUUACAUGUUCUCUGUGCUUCCUGUCCAUGCUUCCUGUCUCCUGUGGUGUUUGUAGUCAGUUUGUAGUCCAUUUGUUCACUGGUUUCCCUUGAUUAGUCUCCCCAGGUGUGUCUUGUUAUCUUCUUAGGCUUGUUAGCCCCGUGUGUGUACAUAGCCCUAGUGUUUCUUCAGUUCUCUGUGAGUUGUUGAAUGUAGUGGUUCUUGGCUUAUUGUUUGUUUUAGUUUUUCCAUGAAAUAUAUCGGCAAUAUCUGCCUGUUUUCUCCAGUUUUUCACUGGCAUGUCUCUUUAAUAGUGCAUCUUUGAGCCUAUAUUUAUUAUAAGUAAAACACUGAAGUAGUGUUAAAAUCAGACACUCUGUAACACCUUUACUCAAGUUGUUUUGGAAAUGUUGACCUGUAUUGGAGUAAUUUCACUGUAAGCUAUCUGUAUUUUUCUCAAGUAGGGACUCUUUACAUCUCUGUCAGAAGGUUCCUUAAACUGGAAAAUAUGUAGUUGGUUUUGACAGCGUGUGUGUGAGGUUUCAUCGAUUGUAUCUUGAGUGUUUUAAGUGUCUUACUGCUCAAUUAUAAAAAGUGAAAAUAUUUGCUAGUACAAUAAGACAAAACAAUCUGUGAAAACAAAGCUGUUCCUCGAGGAAAUGCAUGAAGUAUGUCAAUCAGCAAGAGUGACAAAUAAAGACACACACACCAAACCCAUCAAAAAGACAAGAAAAUAUAUAUAUAGAGAGAGAGUAUACGAUAGCACCCGAUGUGUUAAUGCACUCGAUUACUAGUUGAGUUUACUGUAAGAAUGUGUUUCUGUGUGUUUGAGAGCACAUCUGCAUCACGAGAUGAAGCUCCGUGUUGUGUCCAGACGGCCUGUGAUCGGCCCGUUCCUCCAGAACUCUGUGUUCUGUGUUUCUCUGCUGGAGUCUCGCAGCUCCGAGCGUCUCGCCAUCUGUUCAGAGAUCUGUGCGUCACACGUUUCCCUGCGGCGGACAGAACCAGCGCACCUCGAGACAAGACACAGAAGCAUCUACUGACCGACGAGUCUUCACCAGCAGCAGAUCUCAGAUCUCAGAUUCUCCUGAAAACAGGGCUUCUGUGGAGGCUCCGUUCACCCGUACACACAUAAAGGCUUUCAAAGUACAAAUAUCUAACCAUCCUUAAACCAAGACACAUUUACUGCAGAUGCUUGUACUUGUGUAUGGAUCGACUGGUUCUCGCCGUGAAUGCAUUAAGAAGAAAUAAACAAACUGCAGAUGCAAAAUGAAGACAAGAGGUCUUGUUUUCUGAGAAAUUGAUCAAAAUGAAAAACCCUGAGAAGGCAACGAAGUCAUGAAUCCAGACGCUUCAGAGCGAAAGCAUCUUUACUGAAACCUCAUCAGACGUGUGACGGAGCUUCGGUUCAUUAACACUUCACCUUCCAGCACUCCA
Cyprinus carpio (common carp) is the source of this 4052-nucleotide long non-coding RNA. RefSeq lists it as uncharacterized. The record is from RefSeq and is a predicted model, not a curated record. NCBI's taxonomy places the organism in Eukaryota, Metazoa, Chordata, Actinopteri, Cypriniformes, Cyprinidae. The transcript is spliced from 3 exons.